RNAcentral lists this ribosomal RNA (431 nucleotides) under uncultured bacterium. RNAcentral's name for it is "bacterial SSU rRNA". It matches the Rfam family "Bacterial small subunit ribosomal RNA", at positions 958 to 1392 of the family's 1533-position model. The record is from RNAcentral.
AACGCGAAGAACCUUACCUACCCUUGACAUGCCAGGAAGCCCGCUGAGAGGUGGGUGUGCCCGAAAGGGAGCCUGGACACAGGUGCUGCAUGGCUGUCGUCAGCUCGUGUCGUGAGAUGUUGGGUUAAGUCCCGCAACGAGCGCAACCCUUGUCACUAGUUGCUACGCAAGGGCACUCUAGUGAGACUGCCGGUGACAAACCGGAGGAAGGUGGGGAUGACGUCAAGUCCUCAUGGCCCUUAUGGGUAGGGCUUCACACGUCAUACAAUGGCGCAUACAAAGGGCUGCCAACCCGCGAGGGGGAGCCAAUCCCAGAAAGUGCGUCGUAGUCCGGAUUGCAGUCUGCAACUCGACUGCAUGAAGUCGGAAUCGCUAGUAAUCGCGGAUCAGCAAUGUCGCGGUGAAUACGUUCCCGGGUCUUGUACACACCG